RNAcentral lists this ribosomal RNA (83 nucleotides) under Neolewinella antarctica. RNAcentral's name for it is "Lewinella antarctica partial 23S ribosomal RNA". It matches the Rfam family "Bacterial large subunit ribosomal RNA", at positions 1 to 83 of the family's 2925-position model. The record is from RNAcentral. Lineage: Bacteria; Pseudomonadati; Bacteroidota; Saprospiria; Saprospirales; Lewinellaceae.
AGGAAGUGAAAUAAGGGCGUACGGGGGAUGCCUAGGCUCUCAGAGACGAUGAAGGACGUGGUAAGCUGCGAAAAGCUACGGGG